CGCGGGGUGGAGCAGCGGUAGCUCGUCGGGCUCAUAACCCGAAGGCCGGACGUUCGAAUCGUCCCCCCGCAA
RNAcentral lists this transfer RNA (72 nucleotides) under Chloroflexota bacterium. RNAcentral's name for it is "Chloroflexi bacterium tRNA-Met". It matches the Rfam family "tRNA". Rfam says of the family: Transfer RNA (tRNA) molecules are approximately 80 nucleotides in length. Their secondary structure includes four short double-helical elements and three loops (D, anti-codon, and T loops). Further hydrogen bonds mediate the characteristic L-shaped molecular structure. tRNAs have two regions of fundamental functional importance: the anti-codon, which is responsible for specific mRNA codon recognition, and the 3' end, to which the tRNAs corresponding amino acid is attached (by aminoacyl-tRNA synthetases). tRNAs cope with the degeneracy of the genetic code in two manners: having more than one tRNA (with a specific anti-codon) for a particular amino acid; and 'wobble' base-pairing, i.e. permitting non-standard base-pairing at the 3rd anti-codon position. Lineage: Bacteria; Bacillati; Chloroflexota. RNAcentral also lists the same sequence under 2 other names. The record is from RNAcentral.